GUUUACGGGUAGAGCUUUUCUGGCUCGCUCAACGCACACAGCUGGGCAGGCCAGAUUGCCAUCCAUUAUUUAAGCGGGAGGAAGAGUGCUACUGGGCUGCGUGAUAGCUCUGCACGAGGCACCCGAUAUUUUUUUGUCGGUUGUUGUUGCGGGGGGGGGGGGGUGCAAGCGAGAGGGUGCAAGCGGGCGGGUGGAUGUGGGGUGACGCACGGGGGGGGAGAAUAUGGAAGAGUUUGGUUGGUUUUCAUUACAGCACAGAGUGAAACUCAACUCCGGCUUGGGAACUUUCACUGGCGGCGACACGACACGGCCCGGCAGGGAGCUGCCCCGGAGCGAGACAGCGCAGAACCGCUCCCGUGGGUUCGGAGCGGGGCACAGAGCUCGGUGGGACGACGGGACGAUGGUCGAGACUGAAGACGGAGCACAAGCCGAGGGGUCAGAGGUCGUGAGAUCAGCUGGUGUGCAGGGGCCGCAUAGAUCGUAGUCGCAGCAUCAUCGCGAGAACGACAGGUGAAGGAAAAAUCGGAGGACCCGGAGAAAAAUCCACGCGACCACGGGGAGAGAAAGAAAGAGAGAGAGACGCAAACUCCAAAUAUACAGCAAGCGUUGUCAGGGUCGGGAUCGAACCCACAACCUCCUGCAUACCAG
This is a long non-coding RNA of Lethenteron reissneri (Far Eastern brook lamprey), 648 nucleotides long. RefSeq lists it as uncharacterized. NCBI's taxonomy places the organism in Eukaryota, Metazoa, Chordata, Hyperoartia, Petromyzontiformes, Petromyzontidae. The record is from RefSeq and is a predicted model, not a curated record.